UGUGGAGGUGUCCAGAAUGCCGUGGCCUCUUCAAAUAGCUGAUCGACGGGGGUCCUGGGUGUCGGACCCCCACCAAUCAGAUACUGACGACCUAUCCUAUCAAACCACCUUAAUUAAAAUCAUGUUCCAGGAAGCAGCAUCGGUUACUCUUCUACUUGCUGAUCUCUAUGGUUGUUAGUUUGCAUAUGACUAUACAAUGAAACAUUUUUUUCUGAAAUGCACACACCCACAUAGAAAAAACUGCAUCAUUUAAGUGGAUAAAAUCUGAUCACAAUGGGGAAGGACAAAAAUGUAAAAUAAAAA
Long non-coding RNA from Bufo bufo (common toad), 303 nucleotides. RefSeq lists it as uncharacterized. Lineage: Eukaryota; Metazoa; Chordata; Amphibia; Anura; Bufonidae. The record is from RefSeq and is a predicted model, not a curated record. The transcript has 3 exons.